AUGAAGUCAUACGGCUCUUGAGUCCAACAGUCCAGUCUCUCCGAUGGAGAAGGUGGUAGUUUCCUGCUGGAAUGCAGUAAAAUAAGUCAUGGUGUUUUUGGUUAGCGUUAGUCGCUAAGAAAACUCCUUUUGUCAUUGUUUUCACGAUGCCAAAUAUCUGGGCGUCUAGGUUGUUUAUGUCAGAAAGUGACGGAAACAAGCACGACAGUCCCAGAACUGCAGGGCACUGAAGCUCUGAAUGACACCAGUCCCUUAUGACGUGGACAGGAAGGUUAAAUGAAAAGGCCCUGGUGCUGGCUGCACUGCAGUCUGACUCUGCGACUACGAACAAUUUGUUUCCCAUCACGUCCCUCAGUUUCUCCACCUGGAAAAUGGACAUGACAGUGCCAGGCCUACGCUCUUCCAAAGGCAUCUCUAGAGAGGCAGUAGCCGCAAAGGCGUCCGGCUAAAGCUGCAUUGCGGACGCUUAGCGUGGAUGGGGUUGCACAGGAUGCAACAGUUAUCUCCGUUGUCAACUUACUUAUUAAAUUGGCGAUAAAUAAAUAAAAUAAAUAGGCAAA
This is a long non-coding RNA of Canis lupus familiaris (dog), 560 nucleotides long. RefSeq lists it as uncharacterized. The record is from RefSeq and is a predicted model, not a curated record. Lineage: Eukaryota; Metazoa; Chordata; Mammalia; Carnivora; Canidae. The transcript is spliced from 3 exons.